AUCAUGAAAGGCCCAUGUGUGAUAGAUGGACUCUGGGAAAUAAAAAUAAUCACCCUAGGUGGAGAUCCCAGAGAAAAGAUAAUAAUGGUAUCCCCCUCACAAGACCUUGGAUUCCCUACCAUGUGCUUAAAGCACAGAAUAGACAACUAAAGGCAGAAAAUCUUUCUCUAACAUGUGAACGAAAUGAGUUCCUUGAAAAACUGGAUUGUCUCAAGGCACAAUUAAGUAGAUUAGAGGAGAUGGUUAAC
Pelobates cultripes (western spadefoot toad) is the source of this 248-nucleotide non-coding RNA. The record is from the annotation of a GenBank genome assembly. NCBI's taxonomy places the organism in Eukaryota, Metazoa, Chordata, Amphibia, Anura, Pelobatidae.